AGAGCGAACGCUGGCGGCAGGCCUAACACAUGCAGGUCGAGCGCCCGUAGCAAUACGGGAGCGGCAGACGGGAUAGUAACACGUGGGAACGCGCCCUUCGGUUCGGAAUAACUCAGGGAAACUUGAGCUAAUACCGGAUACGCCCUUACGGGGAAAGAUUUAUUGCCGAAGGAACGGCCCGCGUCCGAUUAGCUAGUUGGUGAGGUAAUGGCUCACCAAGGCGACGAUCGGUAGCUGGUCUGAGAGGAUGACCAGCAUCACUGGGACUGAGACACGGCCCAGACUCCUACGGGAGGCAGCAGUGGGGAAUAUUGGACAAUGGGCGCAAGCCUGAUCCAGCCAUGCCGCGUGGAUGAUGAAGGCCUUAGGGUUGUAAAGUCCUUUUAACGGGGAAGAUAAUGACGGUACCCGUAGAAUAAGCCCCGGCUAACUUCGCGCCAGCACGCCGC
Molecule: ribosomal RNA, 449 nt
Filed under: uncultured bacterium
Lineage: Bacteria
Description: SSU rRNA
Rfam family: Bacterial small subunit ribosomal RNA
Source: RNAcentral